Molecule: non-coding RNA, 74 nt
Organism: Myotis lucifugus (little brown bat)
Lineage: Eukaryota; Metazoa; Chordata; Mammalia; Chiroptera; Vespertilionidae
Source: Rfam
GGUGGUUCUCGGGUGACGCACCUGGAAUCAGGCUCCCUCCUCUCUGGUUCUGGGUGCGGCACCUGAGAACCGCA